UUUUCUAGUGGUCGCCGCAUCGUUGACGCUGACUGUACGUACUUCAUCUCCUUCAGAAUUCGGAAGGAUGCCAUAAACAAGCCACAUUAUGGUAUAGAAAUUUUUGGGAGUAAGGGUACGUCCCGUCAGUGUCAAAGAUGUGGCGAAUACUAGAAAA
Molecule: microRNA precursor, 157 nt
Filed under: Glycine max (soybean)
Lineage: Eukaryota; Viridiplantae; Streptophyta; Magnoliopsida; Fabales; Fabaceae
Description: miR4397 stem-loop (gma-MIR4397)
Source: miRBase by way of RNAcentral